UACGGGGGGGGUAAGCGUUGUUCGGAAUUACUGGGCGUAAAGGGCUCGUAGGCGGCCAACUAAGUCGGACGUGAAAUCCCUCAGCUUAACUGGGGAACUGCGUCCGAUACUGGAUGGCUUGGAUUUGGGAGAGGGAUGCGGAAUUCCAGGUGUAGCGGUGAAAUGCGUAGAUAUCUGGAGGAACACCGGUGGCGAAGGCGGCGUCCUGGACCAAUACUGACACUGAGGAGCGAAAGCCAGGGGAGCAAACGAG
This 253-nucleotide ribosomal RNA is filed under the name uncultured bacterium. Its description in RNAcentral is "partial 16S ribosomal RNA". It matches the Rfam family "Bacterial small subunit ribosomal RNA", at positions 524 to 776 of the family's 1533-position model. The record is from RNAcentral.